Molecule: ribosomal RNA, 433 nt
Filed under: uncultured bacterium
Lineage: Bacteria
Description: partial 16S ribosomal RNA
Rfam family: Bacterial small subunit ribosomal RNA
Source: RNAcentral
AACGAACGCUGGCGGCAUGCCUAACACAUGCAAGUCGAACGAUGCCUUCGGGCAUAGUGGCGCACGGGUGCGUAACGCGUGGGAAUCUGCCUUUCGGUUCGGAAUAACUCAGGGAAACUUGAGCUAAUACCGGAUAACGUCGCAAGACCAAAGAUUUAUCACCGAAAGAUGAGCCCGCGUAGGAUUAGCUAGUUGGUGAGGUAAAGGCUCACCAAGGCGACGAUCCUUAGCUGGUCUGAGAGGAUGAUCAGCCACACUGGGACUGAGACACGGCCCAGACUCCUACGGGAGGCAGCAGUGGGGAAUAUUGGACCAUGGGCGAAAGCCUGAUCCAGCAAUGCCGCGGGAGUGAUGAAGGCCUUAGGGUUGUAAAGCUCUUUUACCCGGGAAGAUAAUGACGGUACCGGGAGAAUAAGCCCCGGCUAACUCCGUG